Molecule: transfer RNA, 74 nt
Filed under: Rhodospirillaceae bacterium
Lineage: Bacteria; Pseudomonadati; Pseudomonadota; Alphaproteobacteria; Rhodospirillales; Rhodospirillaceae
Also listed under: 1 other name
Description: tRNA-Gln
Rfam family: tRNA
About the family: Transfer RNA (tRNA) molecules are approximately 80 nucleotides in length. Their secondary structure includes four short double-helical elements and three loops (D, anti-codon, and T loops).
Source: RNAcentral
UGGGGGAUCGUCUAACGGUAAGACGCCAGACUCUGACUCUGGUUAUCGGGGUUCGAAUCCCUGUCCCCCAGCCA